GGAAGCGGCGUCUUCCUAGAACCGCGGGCUGAGCGGUGGGGCCCGGGCGGGGUGCGCGGGCGCCGUCGCCGGGUCUGGGGCCCUGAGCAGUGAAAGGAAAUACUUUGACAGAUUUCCAAGAACUUUCCAGGAAAACGGGGCGGGGCCCCGCGAGCUGACCAAUCGCGACGCUGAAGGUGGAGCCGAGCGGUCGGGGAGGGCCAAUAGCAGCGCGUGGACCAGGGGCUGAAGCUACCCAGCGGGGCAGGGAGUACUUGCUGCAUUUGAUCCUCUACAACUGGUGUUGCUCCCGUUAUGCGGACAGAAGACAGCCCCAGGGAACAAAUGCUAGGAAAUGGCAGGGUGAGAAAACUGAGGCAUAGAGAGGUUACAAUAUAACUUAGAUCUCCCAGCUGGCAAGUAAUGGUUUAAGCCAGGAGCCUACACACUUCCUCCUACUUCCUCUAUGGGUGCUGGUGAUCUGCCGACUCCUAGACAUCCAGCUUUAAGGUCCUCAGUGAAGCUUCUCUGCCCCCAGGCCUGUCCAUGUCAGAGCACCAUGGGUGUCCCUUUGAAAGUGUCUCCUACAGGUCUGUGAUUAUGCGGUCUAUGUGUAAACCAAAGGGUUCCAAGA
Pan troglodytes (chimpanzee) is the source of this 613-nucleotide long non-coding RNA. RefSeq lists it as uncharacterized. The transcript is spliced from 3 exons. NCBI's taxonomy places the organism in Eukaryota, Metazoa, Chordata, Mammalia, Primates, Hominidae. The record is from RefSeq and is a predicted model, not a curated record.